Molecule: ribosomal RNA, 500 nt
Filed under: uncultured bacterium
Lineage: Bacteria
Description: partial 16S ribosomal RNA
Rfam family: Bacterial small subunit ribosomal RNA
Source: RNAcentral
AUUGAACGCUGGCGGCAGGCCUAACACAUGCAAGUCGAGCGGAUGACGGGAGCUUGCUCCUUGAUUCAGCGGCGGACGGGUGAGUAGCGCCUAGGAAUCUGCCUGGUAGUGGGGGACAACGUUUCGAAAGGAACGCUAAUAACGCAUACGUCCUACGGGAGAAAGCAGGGGACCUUCCGGCCUUGCGCUAUCAGAUGAGCCUAGGUCGGAUUAGCUUGUUUGUGAGGGAAUGGCUCACCAAGGCGACGAUCCGUAACUGGUCUGAGAGGAUGAUCAGUCACACUGGAGCUGAGACACGGUCCAGACUCCUACGGGAGGCAGCAGUGGGGAAUAUUGGACAAUGGGCGAAAGCCUGAUCCAGCCAUGCCGCGUGUGUGAAGAAGGUCUUCGGAUUGUAAAGCACUUUAAGUUGGGAGGAAGGGUUGUAGAUUAAUACUCUGCAAUUUUGACGUUACCGACAGAAUAAGCACCGGCUAACUCUGUGCCAGCCGCCGCCGUAA